AACGAACGCUGGCGGCAUGCCUAACACAUGCAAGUCGAACGAGACCUUCGGGUCUAGUGGCGCACGGGUGCGUAACGCGUGGGAACCUGCCCUUAGGUUCGGAAUAACUCCCCGAAAGGGGUGCUAAUACCGGAUAAUGUCUUCGGACCAAAGAUUUAUCGCCUUGGAUGGGCCCGCGUUGGAUUAGCUAGUUGGUAGGGUAAAAGCCUACCAAGGCGACGAUCCAUAGCUGGUCUGAGAGGAUGAUCAGCCACACUGGGACUGAGACACGGCCCAGACUCCUACGGGAGGCAGCAGUGGGGAAUAUUGGACAAUGGGCGAAAGCCUGAUCCAGCAAUGCCGCGUGAGUGAUAAAGGCCUUAGGGUUGUAAAGCUCUUUUACCCGGGAUGAUAAUGACAGUACCGGGAGAAUAAGCUCCGGCUAACUCCGUG
This 432-nucleotide ribosomal RNA is filed under the name uncultured bacterium. Its description in RNAcentral is "partial 16S ribosomal RNA". It matches the Rfam family "Bacterial small subunit ribosomal RNA", at positions 29 to 507 of the family's 1533-position model. The record is from RNAcentral.